RNAcentral lists this ribosomal RNA (253 nucleotides) under uncultured archaeon. RNAcentral's name for it is "partial 16S ribosomal RNA". It matches the Rfam family "Archaeal small subunit ribosomal RNA", at positions 474 to 726 of the family's 1478-position model. The record is from RNAcentral.
UACCAGCGGUCCAAGUCGCAACCACAAUUAUUGGGUCUAAAACAUCUGUAGCUUGCUUUGCAAGUCUCUUGUGAAAUCUUAUAUCUCAAGUAUAAGGCGUGCAGGAGAUACUGCAGAGCUAGAGACCGGGAGACGUAAGAAGUAUGGUUAAGGUAGUAGUAAAAUACGUUGAUCUUAAUCAGACUAACAAUAGCGAAGGCAUCUUACGAGCACGGAUCUGACAGUGAGAGAUGAAGGCUAGGGGCGCGAAAAG